This 267-nucleotide long non-coding RNA is filed under the name Elaeis guineensis (African oil palm). RNAcentral's name for it is "long non-coding RNA (EGUI_LNC057819)". The record is from RNAcentral. Lineage: Eukaryota; Viridiplantae; Streptophyta; Magnoliopsida; Arecales; Arecaceae.
GCGGCCGUGAUCCCCUCGACGCCAGCUUCUCCAGUGUCGGCGGAAUUCUGCACCAACAAGUUCAAAUAAACUUCACAUGAUACUUGACAAUCAAAAGAUCAUUUAUGAUAAAGCUGGUCUUGGAUAUAACCCUUUAAAAAAAAAAAUUUUUGAAAAAUAUCUUUAUAAACUCAUCGUACAAUAAGUUUUCAAAUAUAACUUUCUUUAAAUGUGGUAAAGUAGGACACAAAUCCUAUUCAUAUUUUUUCAACAAAUCUAAAAAUUUCA